AUGGGCUACCAACUUCACAUUGAGAUCAUGGAUCACGUGUACGUCGUAGGGCGUGAGGUGCUUUUGCUCAAGAAACGAAGAACACAUGUUUGCCAAAACAGCGAGCGCCCUUGCCUCAUGCCUACAAAGUCCGCAGAUACGACCUUCCACGCAUCACACAACAACUCAUCCUCCAUCACCGAGUACCCCGCCAUCGUGCUUACUCUAGAAAACAACGAGAAGUUCAACAAAAAAGCCCUAUGGCAUUUGACUGAACACCUAUCGGGCGUGGUGUCCAUGGAUGGCGGCGGCAGGGAGGCGGAGGGUACCUAG
RNAcentral lists this ribosomal RNA (312 nucleotides) under Triticum aestivum (bread wheat). Its description in RNAcentral is "partial small subunit ribosomal RNA". The record is from RNAcentral. Lineage: Eukaryota; Viridiplantae; Streptophyta; Magnoliopsida; Poales; Poaceae.